GGGCUUGGGAGAGGAACUGGGCAUGCGUAGCUCGGCCUGUUUCCCGCCCCACCGCGCUUCUCCUUUCUUGGCUUGGCCUGUGCGCCUGUAGAGUGGGAUUGCUCUGGUCUGAUCCAGGCCCACACUUUCCGAAUACCUCCUCAGUCGGAGUCAGUUUUUCUUCCUCUGAAAUCUUCCUCCAUUUGACACUUACUGGAUCCUGCCUCAAGAGCAAAACAGUGGAACUUCUGGAAGGAUACACUCUAUUCGUUACUACUGAGGAGCGGUGAAACCACUCUGCACUGGAGGGCAAGAGGCAAGCAGAAAUACUUAGGGAAGGCCUGGGUCUGCUUUGACCCCAUGAUCCAUUUUCAAAUGGAAACUUCGGCUUCUUAGGACCAGGUCUUAUUUUUCUAAAAAUUUAAUUAACCUCAAGUUUAAUUCUUUGUCAUCCUACCAGUAUCAGCACAGCCAACCUCAGUAGAGAAUGUAGUAAUGCCCUCCCCCAAAGUUAUCACCCUUUUUGGGGGCCCCUAAUAAUGUCAUUAUACCUUUUAAAAUUAGUAUAUUUUGGAAUUUUUUGAAUUGAUUCAUUACUUCUAUGGAAGCUUUAACAUCUAAAGCUUGAUUUAUUUAUUUAUUUAUUUAUUUAUUUAUUUAUUUAUUUAUUUAUUUUUUUGGAGGAAGAUUAGCCCUCAGCUAACUACUGCCAGUCCUCCUCUUUUUGCUGAGGAAGCCUGGCUCUGAGCUAACAUCCGUGCCAUCUUCCUCUAGUUUAUACGUGGGACGCCUACCACAGCAUGGCUGCCAAGCAGUGCCAUGUCCGCACCCCGGAUCCGAACCAGCGAACCCCGGGCCGCCGAGAAGCUGAACGUGCGAACUUAACCGCUGCGCCACCGGGCCGGCCCCAAUUUAUUUAUUUUUAAUGCAUAGUAACCUUAUUAAGCUAAUUUCCCCUUCAUCUUAAUAAUUUAUUAGUUGUGUCUGGGACUUCGUGCCAUAAGCGCUUCACCACAGAAUGAAAAACAAUGUAACCUGAGAGCAGAUUGGCUGGCAGAAUGCCGAGCAACGGUAAUCAGGACAGAUUUCCUGAGGCUUGCUCUGAGCCAAGCCUAUGCCUGGUCUGGAGCAUUCAAGAAAAGCCUCAGACAUUUAUCGAUGCCUUCAAGGAAAGAAAGUCUUCCACAUCCCCAGGUCUGUGAGACUCGCUUUCCAAUUUCCCGCAUCAUUAGCACCACUCUGGCAUCCUUCAGCCCUUAGGAACGUGUCUGUUUGCCGGGAGAUCUUAGACCUCAGACCUGAACAAGUCUGCGAUGCCCAAAGCCUCAGGACUCAUCACUUCAAGAACUCACUUACUUCAGCUCUGUUUCCAGGAAGGACUUUAUCAAAGCCCUCUUGCUGUGUCCUGCUGCUGCUUUAACAUUUCAGAGAGUAGCAAAAUGCUAGAGCUGGUAUGGACCUUUGCGUUUAUCUAGUUCAACCUGCUCAUUUUACAAAUGAGAGAAGUUGCUUCAGGAAAAGAUUCUCCCCUGCUUUGGUGAUGGCGCUCCGUGGACAGUGAAUCGGGCACCACUGCUGGGACUGACAUUUAUUUAUACACGUAUUGGUGCGUUUACUUGUUCCAGGAAUGAUUUGAGACCAAACGUCUGAUAUUAAGAAACCCACGCAUGAAGAAAAGACAUGAGUUCUCUGUGCUACAGUGAACAUUUUUUUUCACCUAGAAAUGGAGAAGUGAGGCCUAUUUGCUGUAAAGCGACUAAAUCACUCUGUCAUUCCACGUAUUUAUGUAGUCUGAAUCUCUCUGUUAAUCCUUCACUCUAUCCUUGCUGGAAGAAAUAUGCCCUACACAUGAAUAUAUUCUUUUCAAAAAUUUUAAAAA
Molecule: long non-coding RNA, 1858 nt
Organism: Equus asinus (donkey)
Lineage: Eukaryota; Metazoa; Chordata; Mammalia; Perissodactyla; Equidae
Source: Ensembl